RNAcentral lists this ribosomal RNA (764 nucleotides) under uncultured bacterium. Its description in RNAcentral is "bacterial SSU rRNA". It matches the Rfam family "Bacterial small subunit ribosomal RNA", at positions 28 to 776 of the family's 1533-position model. The record is from RNAcentral.
AUUGAACGCUGGCGGCAGGCUUAACACAUGCAAGUCGAACGGUAACAGGAAGAAAGCUUGCUUUCUUUGCUGACGAGUGGCGGACGGGUGAGUAAUGCUUGGGAAUCUGUUUCAUGGAGGGGGAUAACUACGGGAAACUGUAGCUAAUACCGCGUAAUAUCGAGAGAUUAAAUGUGUGGGACCGUAAGGCCACAUGCCAUGAAGUGAGCCCAAGUGGGAUUAGAUAGUUGGUGAGGUAAUGGCUCACCAAGUCGGCGAUCUCUAGCUGGUCUGAGAGGAUGACCAGCCACACUGGGACUGAGACACGGCCCAGACUCCUACGGGAGGCAGCAGUGGGGAAUAUUGCACAAUGGGCGCAAGCCUGAUGCAGCCAUGCCGCGUGAAUGAAGAAGGCCUUCGGGUUGUAAAGUUCUUUCGGUGGUGAGGAAGGUUGACGUGUUAAUAGCACGUUGAUUUGACGUUAGCCACAGAAGAAGCACCGGCUAACUCCGUGCCAGCAGCCGCGGUAAUACGGAGGGUGCGAGCGUUAAUCGGAAUAACUGGGCGUAAAGGGCACGCAGGCGGUGACUUAAGUGAGGUGUGAAAGCCCUGGGCUUAACCUAGGAAUUGCAUUUCAUACUGGGUCGCUAGAGUAUUUUAGGGAGGGGUAGAAUUCCACGUGUAGCGGUGAAAUGCGUAGAGAUGUGGAGGAAUACCCGAAGGCGAAGGCAGCCCCUUGGGAAUAUACUGACGCUCAAUGUGCGAAAGCGUGGGGAGCAAACAGG